UGGGGAAUAUUGCGCAAUGGGGGGAACCCUGACGCAGCCAUGCCGCGUGAAUGAAGAAGGCCUUAGGGUUGUAAAGUUCUUUCGGUAUUGAGGAAGGUUGAUGUGUUAAUAGCACAUCAAAUUGACGUUAAAUACAGAAGAAGCACCGGCUAACUCCGUGCCAGCAGCCGCGGUAAUACGGAGGGUGCGAGCGUUAAUCGGAAUAACUGGGCGUAAAGGGCACGCAGGCGGUUAUUUAAGUGAGGUGUGAAAGCCCCGGGCUUAACCUGGGAAUUGCAUUUCAGACUGGGUAACUAGAGUACUUUAGGGAGGGGUAGAAUUCCACGUGUAGCGGUGAAAUGCGUAGAGAUGUGGAGGAAUACCGAAGGCGAAGGCAGCCCCUUGGGAAUGUACUGACGCUCAUGUGCGAAAGCGUGGGGAGCAAACAGGAUUAGAUACCCUGGUAGUCCACGCUGUAAACGCUGUCGAUUUGGAGGUUGGGGUUUAACUCUGGCGCCCGUAGCUAACGUGAUAAAUCGACCGCCCCGGGGGAGUACGGCCGCAAGGUUA
RNAcentral lists this ribosomal RNA (549 nucleotides) under uncultured bacterium. Its description in RNAcentral is "bacterial SSU rRNA". It matches the Rfam family "Bacterial small subunit ribosomal RNA", at positions 355 to 896 of the family's 1533-position model. The record is from RNAcentral.